UUGACCCCACCCUCCCUCGUCCCUCAGCAGCACAUUGUUGCUGAGCGACUCAGAGGAAAGUUUACCCGCUCGCGCUGGCAACAGCACCUCCAUGACCCAUAACCUUCGACCCCCACGGCUCCAGCCCUGAGGAGGGGCACACACCUGAACAUGGCCUUUUUCAGCUGUCUAUGCUCUCUGUUCAGCAAGGCUAAGGCUCUGUCACCUUCGUGGAGUUUCAAGGACUCAGGUAAGAAAACGAAAUGCAGCAGGAAAGGGGUCGAUUUGGGAUCUUGUGUAAGAAUCCAAACAUUGUCAGUGAUGUCACUGUGCUAAAACCUGCCCAAGCUAUUUUUGCAAGCUUUGUCAUUUGGAGGAUAUACGGUAUUAUGUAUCCUGUGUGUAGUUACUUGUGUAGUGAAGAAUGAGGGUAAGCCUCAUAAAGCCAUGUGUUGCCAUAGCUUGCAUAGGACAAUGAUCGUCUUGCAUAUGGGAUUUGUAAAAGCAACAGAGUACGUCACCAUUUUAGAAACCAGAUUAAUUUGAGUUUGAAACUUAACUAACUGCCUUACGUGAGAGCGUGGCUAUUGAAAUAUCUCUGGCAAGUACAAGGCAGUACUACACACAAACAUUCGUUUGUGCCAUUGAAAGAAGGGCAGUUUUCCCAAGGUCAGGAUAGCUCUGAGCCUCAUGGAGGUAGAGGUAGCUGCUGAGAGGCAGUUGUCUACAGAGACAUUGUUAGAGCUUACUCCAGGGGAGCCUUUGGAAAUCUAUUCACUGAGGCUGCAUUCACACUAAUAUGUUUUCAUUUUAAAACGGUUCGCUAAGACCCAGUCAGGAAGCGAACGUGGGUGACUGUGUCAUCAUUUCCAAAAGUCUCCGUUUCUGCCCGUCCACACUAAAACACAAUCCUCGAGUUUGCAAACUAAAACGGGGCCAGCUAAAAUGUCCAAAAGUCUUUAAGGGCCUCAAAAACUCCAGAGUAGUAUGGAACAGAGAGGCUCACACGUUAAUUUUUUUGCAAGUCCAAGUCAAGUCUCAAGUCUUUCAGCUCGAGUUCAAGUCAAGUCUUAAGUCUCUGGUCACAAAGAAAAUGCACAAUCAGAGCUUUGCUUUAAAGUUAAUAACUGUAUUUUGCCUUGUAACAUGAACAUACAGCUACAGUAUACAUCAAGUAUUGAGGUCCUGCUUACAGUUUUUUCAGUUGCUUCAGUACAUUUCUCAGAUAAGGAAUACAAUUCUAAAAACUGUUCAACCUCCACAUCAUCUAUUCACUUGUGCAUAUCAUAACAGCAAUGUCUCAUUAUUUUGAACAUUUUGGAAAUACUUUUGCAUAUUCAUGCAAAAGGCUAUGUUCGGUCGUCUGCUAUUGAGUCUUACCCCCAAAAACACCUACGUAUCUAUUCAUUGUGUAAGUCAUGACAUGCAAAUUGGUUCAAGUAGUUAUUUAGAUUGAUGAGGAUUUCUGCAUCCUGCUACAAACAUGUUGUACAUGAUUCACACCAACUUUGUUUGAGAUUGAACAAUUGCUAUACAUGUGCAUGGCUUGCAAGAGCCCACAGAUACUAAAUUCACCUGUCAACAGGUAGGCUAGUUUAUUUCCGAAGCAUAUAUUAUGGCGCAUUCAAGACAGCUCAGAAUUCGGAACGUCCGAGAUGAUAUUUCCCUGCUCUGACUUGAAUGCGUUCAAGCCAAAUGUAAACCCAAUAAUAUGGUGAUAGUCCUACUGGAUUUUCCUUCUAUCUGCUAACUUUUUUCUUGUUCAUUUUGACACACUGUCUCUUCAUGUUUCUUCUCACGCAUUUUAAAGGGUUUUUAACCUUUCAUAUAGUCAAGGUCACUACUAAGGUUACUAGUUAAUAUUGCAUCAAAAACAUACAAUAUAAACCUUCAAUUCAUAAAGAAAAACAAGGCAAAAAACAAGUUAUAAACUAAUUUCUUUUUUCAUUUUAAUUACUGCAAAUGCAAUAGACAGACAUGUUCGGACAGUUUUGUCAUCCUCCGUGCAAAUCAUAUGGUCACAGAAACAUCUUUUAUACAGUGAAAGAGGAAUUGGUUCACCUGUCCCCUAUCAGUGCAAUUACACAUCGUCUUGACUCGGCCACCUUCAAUGACCAAGCUCAUGAUUGUAGCAUAUAGGCCCAGUGGCGUCACACCCAUUGACUCAGGGUGGCCAGUGCCCACCCAACAUAUUGUGAACGAAAAAUAAAUGAAUACAAAAAAUAUUCAAGCAGUGUUGUAAACAUUGAUUUGUGGCUAUAAUGUCGUAAUGUUACAAUUAAUGGAAAGGGGUGAGUUUUCAUGCAUACAUUUUGUCCCCUUAGACAGCCAUCGCAUACAUUUAUAACUACGCAGUUCCCGUAUUUUUAACGAGUCUCAUUGGCAUCUGGCCACUGGUGAGUUCAGAUCACUCUACCUAAUUGCACUCUUGUGUUUGCUUACGUGGAUGCGUAGUGGCAUUGUGCUCUCCCCCUUGUAGCUUCGCCCACAUGGACAAAACAACAGGUAAAUAAUAUUAUUUGUGUUGCAUGUUAUAUAUUGUUUAUUGAGAAUAUGUUUUCCUGUCAACGGAUGUGUAAAGAAUUCGUUGUGAUGAGGUUGUUGCAAGAUGCACAAUUAUAGGAAGAAAAGCAACCCAGGGGUAAUCCGAGUACGUGGUUUAGUGACAAACUUGGGUAAGUUAACUCCGAGUAAGUGGUAAACCUUCCAAAAGAAGAGCCAUUUAAGAGAGGUUGGAUGACAGGAAUUGGACAACAGCAGAGUAUUCCUGUCUGUCGAUUUACGAUGCAAAGUUGUCUUUAUUUUGAUAUUAUCUUUGUGGGAAGUUACAUCCAGAAAACUGAUCUUUUCUUUGCUUUUUUCACAGGUGAAUUUGAUGGAGGGUACACCCUACUGGCACCUUGACUAGCGCUUAAGGGCGCUUAUAUGGUACUCCGUACUAAACGUUUACGGACACAUGGGAAGGGCCUACACAUAGAAGGAACGCCCUCUCCGUCGUCUCUGUCGUCUCCGGGGCCCUUGGAGAGCUCUCCCGUGCACCGUUGAAAUUCCUGUCGAUCCGUCAUGCCGUGCUGUACAGCGACGCAUACCCCUUGGCCGUGAUUGGUCCGCUACGACAUAAUUUCCAAACGACAUCAUUUCCGGAAUCUCACAUUUCUGGACCUCGCAUUUCCUGUUUCAUUCCCUAUGUAUCACAAUACCGCCAUGUUUAAAAUCCACAAAAAAACGUAAGAAGAUGGAGAUCACGAACAUAGACAUAUAUAUAUGUCUAUGAUCACGAACAUCGAAGAGCGCAUUGCGGAAGAGGUCCGGAAAUAUCCUCACCUCUAUAACACAUCGCUAAAAGAUUACAAAAAUGCGCGAAUGACUGCCAAUUCUGCAGCGGAAGAGCUGGACACUAAAGACUGCGACUGUUUCCUGUUUCAUUCCCUAUAUAUCACAAUACCGCCAUAUUUAAAACCCACAUGAGCGCCAGCAUCUGACAGAGUAGGUGCCAGAGCCCGGCAGGAGCAGACAGCAAUUAAAAUAUUUUGUCCAAACAACCUUUGGACAUAUUCAUUCAUAUCAUAUCAUGGGACAUAUCAAACAGCCUCAUUAGAAUCUGCAUCGACUAUGAUGCCUUCCGACAUAAAUAUCUCCAUACAGUACAUUUCCCCUCAUUAAGUGUCGUUUUAAACUCUCCAGAUGACAGUUUCUUUUUUUUUUUUUAACGUUAAGUGCACAAAGUGAUUUAAUUUACUCUCAAAAACGAACUUCUGCAUUAUAUGAAGCAAACAUGUUCCAGUGUUGGGAAAGUUCACUUUCUACAUGAACUAGUUCAGUUCAUAGUUCACAAAUUUUAGAAUGAACUAGUUCAGUUCAUAGUUUAUAAUUCAAAAUUUAGAACUAAGUUCACAGCUCCAAAAAAUGGAGUUCUUUUUUUCAAUAUGUUGCGAGUUUAAAUUUUUCUGCAAUACCGCUCUCGGCCUCUACGCAACUCGGCGCACACACAUUGUAUUUGCUUAAAACACACAGAAAACACACAGCUGUCACGCGGCUAUUACCGGACCAAUACCUUUCAAACUCGGUGAUAUUAUUCACAACUCAUUUGUCCCUCAUUCUAUCAAAUAUGAUUAAACGGCAUAUGAUAUUGCACCCGUGAGGCAAGGGAGUAGAGUUUUGUUCAGUUAUCUCUCUAGACUGAUUACUGACCAACCUUCCACCUUUGAAUAAUGUAACUUAUAAACACUUUGUUUUAAAGCGCUGUGGCCGUCCUUAAAAUAUGUGUCAAUAAACGAACUUCUCCAUCAUGUGAAGCAGACAAGUUGACUUUACUACUUAUUAAGAUGUUUUAAAUAUGGAAUGCUUUAUCGCGAAGGCCGCAGUCUCUCAAUUUGCCAAGAUGCUGAUUAUGGAUUAUCCGUGUGCUCUGCCCUGCUAUUGUUUCUAACAAUACAAUAUUUCUUUGUUUGAGUGUGGUUGUUUAGUGCGAUGGGGGUAUAUUAUCGUUACUGUUUAUAAAGGAAGACAUUGCAACAGGAAAAUCUCCUGCUCAUCUCCAUUUGCCCCCACCUGUCACGUCUCUGCGACCCACCAGUUGGGCUCUCCCCACACUUCGAGAAACGCUGUGGUAGGGGGAAAUUGACAGGGUGGUUGCAAUAAUAAUAAAAAAAAUAUUAUUAUUUUAGUAAUUGAUACAUAUGAAGUUUAGUUUAAGGCAAAGGGUAGUGAUGGAUAAAGUUUUCUAUAAAAAACAAGUGAAGUCUUUCAUUCUCACUUUCCACUCUAAAACUAUGAACUGAACUGAACUAUGAACUGGUUCAGAAUUUAAAUGGUGAACUAUGAAUGUGAACUAUUCAUGUUUACUUGUUUGAACUGAACUUUGAACUGGUUCAUGAGAGAUGUGAACUUGUACAACACUGUCAGCUUGUCGGUCUUGACGUUCAGAUGCUGUGCCUAAACUAGCUAUACCAUCGUCUCGUCACAUGAUAAAACAGAGACUUGACAUUGGACCACAACAUACAUAUUACCCAGCAAUCAUCAUUGCAAAUCUGAAUAUGACAAAAAUACCAAAGAAAAUAAGAACGUAUUCAUUUCAGGGAAUCGUUUUUUAAUAGUUUUAAUAGUGUAUAUAAGAUAAGCAUAUACUUUUGUUAUAGAGUGCUACUAUUUUCCCCACAAAUAAUACCUACCAUGAUAGAGAUAAGUUUGCCCUUUCAGGUGUUUAAAUAUGCAUUAGACACACUCUUAAAUAUAAUAUCAUGUUACUACACCUGCUGCACUUAUCGUCUGACUAGUGACUGCUGGUAGGAGGGUCACACGGGAGGAGGGAGAUAAACAACGACGAAUUUUAACUUACAAAGACGUUGCAAAGCAACGUGUCUUCGACAAAAAAACGCUUCUCCACCUACUGUUCUGGCGGUGAAUUGUUUUCAGCACCCCCAGCCUUCGGAGAACCAUAAAGGCAACAGAAAUGCUAAUUAGUCCGUCCUAUCCGUCUGCCCGCCCAUCCGUAACGGAGUCUGAGUACCAUACUGGCACCUUUAAGGUUGCACUUCAGCAGUUACAUUCCUGCACUUCUUUUUCCUUUCUAGGUCGUUUUUCUAAUUCUUAUGUAAAGUAGUAUUUAUUGUUACACCAUGUUUUUUAUUGCUCUUAGCUUGACUGUUCUCUCCCUUUGGACAAAAGCGUCUGCUAAAUGACUAAAUGUAAAUGUAAAUGAUUUAGAAAACUUACAAAACCUUCUAGCUGUCCCUCUGACCCAUACCAUAUUAAAAAUAUAUCAUCAAAAAAAAAUCUUGUUUCUGUGGUCAUAUGAUUUGUAGACACUGAGGAUGACAAAACUGUCAAACCACGUCUGUCUAUCACAUUGGUAGUAAUUAAAACAGUCUAGGCCUACUUGUUUUUCUUUAUGAACUGAAGGUUAAUAUUGUAAUUUUUGAGUGCGCACUCCGACAUUGUUAACUGGAUUGCUAAACUAGUUUGGUAGCUACUUUAGCUAAAAAUGAAGAGGCUAUUCCUGAGUGCAGGUUUACACUUGACUUUAUGACUAGUAAAUAUUGAAAAUGAGGGGAGAAAUCGGGAUAAUUGCUAGUGUGUGUGUGCGUGACAGAGAGAGAGAGAGAGAGAGAGAGAGAGAGAGAGAGAGAGAGAGGCAGACAGACAUCAGCUAGUGGACUUUGAUAAUGAGCAUAUGACAUGUGAUGUAGUCUUAGAGCAUAAUGACCCCCUCAGGAUUGAAGUAGGCAUUUUUACAUUUCCUAAAGUUGCUGUUGGUACGUUAGCAGUUCUUGAUGACACCCAUAUGACAUAGCCAGCACUUUAAGCCACACCCUCCUGUCAACACAUCUGUUGUUUUGUUAAUACUUACAGAAAUAUACGCUACCACUCAAAGGUUUGGAAUUACUCAGAAGAAUGUCAUGUUUUCCAUAGAAACUUGACAACUUGACAUGACAACUCAACAACUUGAAUUGAAUAGAAAAUGCAGUGAAGAUGU
Molecule: long non-coding RNA, 6454 nt
Organism: Clupea harengus (Atlantic herring)
Lineage: Eukaryota; Metazoa; Chordata; Actinopteri; Clupeiformes; Clupeidae
Source: Ensembl